RNAcentral lists this ribosomal RNA (111 nucleotides) under Caerostris extrusa. Lineage: Eukaryota; Metazoa; Arthropoda; Arachnida; Araneae; Araneidae. The record is from RNAcentral.
UCGGCCAUACCAUGCUGAAUAUACCGGUUCUCGUUAGAUCACCGAAGUCAAGCAUCAUUGGGCGCGGUCAGUACUUGGGUGGGUGACCACCAGGGAACACCGCGUGCCGUU